Long non-coding RNA from Oxyura jamaicensis (ruddy duck), 3827 nucleotides. RefSeq lists it as uncharacterized. The transcript has 4 exons. Lineage: Eukaryota; Metazoa; Chordata; Aves; Anseriformes; Anatidae. The record is from RefSeq and is a predicted model, not a curated record.
GGUUUGGCUGGCAGCUGGACUGCAUCUUCAUUGCAGGCUGUCAGGAACCGGUGUGUGACUCCACUUAGCGUGACGGGGAACCUCACACCCACAGCUCCUGGUGCUGAGAGACUUUGCAUUCUGAGCGUGUCUGUCACUGAUCUUUUCUCACCUUGAGGAAGAUUGGAGCCAAGUGCUCUGGGAUGCCUUUGUGUGCCAUCGACUGAUGCAGGGCUCAUAAAGGAUUGCUGGCAUUACCACAGGGAGCUGCUAACAGAAGGAAAGCAACGUGUGUGCAUGUGUGCAAGUACGGGCAAGGACCCUGCACUACAUGGCACAAGGCUCAUGAUUCAUCCGAGAACCACACAAAAUCAUCCUCUGGGAUUGCUGGCAUUUUUGUAUGACUUCAAAACUUGGCACUCAGCGUUCUCAGGAGGAAAAUCUUUAGGAGUUAAAAGAAUACAGCUGAAUUGCAAAGAGGGAACUGGCCAGAAGUGGCACGACCUCAUCCCCUAGCAACAGAAAUCAAUAACAGCAAAGAUAACAUAAUUACACCACAGAAAGGAUCCAGAGGGCAGAUUAUGUCAAGUAUUACGUUGUUAAGAAAGAAUGACAUGUGAAAGAGACAGCGUGCUUUAAACAUGGACGAAAACACAGAAAACGUGGAAGGUAGAUAGGGAGAAGGAAAAUACGAACACAGAAUAAAUUAGCCUGCAGAGUCUUAAAAGGGAAAGAAAAUUAUUCGUGUUCCUGCUUUCAAUCUUCUAUUUAUUCAGUAAACAGAAUUAGAUUCCCAAGGGAGCAGAGGAAGGCAUUUUAUUUCACAAGGAGCAUCGUGGCACAGGGAAAAUAGACUACCCUAUGAUGACAGCCUUGUGCUGGGGCUCCUGAGACCCAGCUCAUUUCCUCCUUAGGUACAGAUGGUCCAUUCUGCUUAAGAAAACCAAGGGCUUUCUGUGCCUCAGUCUCCCAUCACGAAAAUAAUGCCAGCAGAAGAGUAAGGAUUCAGAACUGAGAUGGAUCAGAUACUGCCGUAGUCUGGGAAUUAAACAGAGUUGUCUGCAAGAGAGAGAUCCCUGCACUGACAGGGGUCUUGUGUUUGCCUCAAACACUCUUGUUUUGCUGCUCAGGUUGCUCAUAUGCUUAGAAGAGGCUGGAUGUUGUGAUGGAGCACUUCUCUGCUUCUCUGCAGUAUUCCAAGUUCCAGCACCACACAGCUGCCAGCACAGAGAUUAUCUAGGAAUGUGUUCACUGAUACAACUCUCUGCUAAUGCUGUCAUAUAGCUUUGAAACACUACCUACCCAGGGGGUAAUUUUUCAAGGAAGCUCUCAUUUUGAGCAAAGCAGACAAGUGCCAAUAAAAGCUCGUAUGCCUAUUGUUUUACAUCAUGCUGCCAGAACACCUGAUCCUCUCCCACACUUCCACCAGUUUCUUCCCUGUAGUUGCUCAAAUUUACUGUCACAACACUUUUUCUCCCUCUACCGCACAGAGCACUAAAAUGUGGACUCCAUCACUCAAUAUUUGGCUGCGUAUUACAUGAUCGAAACAAUCACCAAUUCAUCUAGUUAUUUCAUUAACUGUUUCAGCCAGUCUUACUUGUACAUAGCCAGACAAACCUACUGCAUUUCUCCUGACACACAUAUAUACAUAUGCUCAAGAAGUCUCAAGAAGUCUUAAGAGCUCAGCCAAUAAAAAUGGAAAAAUACAAGUCAGAAAGACAUAUUUAUAUAGUAUUAAGAUAUACGUGAAGUAUUACUUACACUGUAGUGUUUGCCUCAAACACUCCUUGUUCUACCUGCUUUCAUUAUCCUUGUAACACUCUGUGUGAUCAAUAUUUCUUCCUCUAUGUCAAAUUAUAAAUUGAAUGGGUUCAAAUGUCAUCCAUGGAGGACACACAAGCAGAGAUGUACCUGGACACAGAGACUACACGUCCUUCAGUAAAUAAAGCAGUCUAGGGAAAGUUCCGGACUCUGUGUCUGUCUUCAACACAGUUAAAUGGUUAUAAAGUUUCCAGGCAGUUUUGGCCUAAGGCUGUCAGACACUCUUACAAACAAUUCCUGGACCCAGGUCAGAAGCUGGCACUGGCCAGGGGUUGUUCGCAAUGGGAAUUUGAAUUCCACCACCCUGAUCUGGAGGGUCAGAGAGGACAGUAUGGACAGCCUCUUCCAUGACAUUUGGCCUCAAAGACAGAGAACAAUCCCAGGCACGUCUAGUUUACUCAUAUGUACAUACUCUGUGAGUGCUUAUGCCUUCCUACCAUAGGAAACAAGCCCCAAAUUUGUUAUAUUCACCAAGUCUUCCUAAUUCUUUUGAUUCUGAGCUAGUUCUUAGAGAGCACUGCCUCAUGCCUCCCAUCUGUGAAGAGUCCUACUGCAUUUUUUUGGAAAAUUUGCAGCAGAGAGCCAGUGCAGACUGGGCACCCAUCCAGACCUGCUUUGAGGUGGUACCCAUCUUCACGGUCUCUUCUAAGUAGCAGGAGCCGAAAACCAGCCAAUAAUGGUCAUAAGACGUAAAGCUCAGCACAGAUGGUAUCUUAUUCAACCUCAACGUGAUGCAAACAAAAGAACUAUUUUAACACAUUGUACAAGAUUGGGGGACUUUCCACACUGUUUCCCAGGAGUGCCGAUUUAGCUAUCUUGGCACUUAUCCUACAUCCACCAGCCAAACUAGUCUAUUUUUCCUUCAGAACAAUACAUUUUGCAGAUAUUACUAAAUCCUGUUUUUUUUCCCCAGCUUCAUAUGGAACUGUGUUAAUCACAGCUCAGUGGAUAGGAGAAUCAGUGCAGUGGAUCCAGUUUGAUAAGCUCUUUUCAAAGCGUACAAAGUCAGUCUCCUUUAAUACUGGCUUUUAUAGUUCUCCCACUUGAGCUGCUGUUUAACUUAACUGCAUUCCCUUUCUGUCAUCCUAGUUAUCUGUUCUAAAUCCUAAAAAGCUUUAUGAAGGACUAAUCAAGUCACUAAUGGCAUCUCCAUAUGGGGUCAGGUUAAAAAAAAAAAUCAGGCUGAAAUGAGUUAACACAGGUUUCUUUCUGUCUAGUAAUCUUGCAUCUGCAGGGACACUGAAUUUACUCACAUUAGUCCAAUUUACUGAUGUGUAUUCACAUGAAGUAAGAAGAUUUUCCACGUGAAGUAAGAAUACUUUGAUUUCCUUGUGACAAGUACUGUGUUUUCAAAAGGAUCAGAUGACCAUAAAUAUUAUGGCAAAUUAACACAGGACAACAAAGGAGAAGUACAUGGUAAACAGGUAGAAAAUAUAGGUUGUUUAAAGAAUAUAUAUAGAUUUUGUCCCGUUAAAAACUGAAUUUAUAUAGAAAAUGUAUCAUCCUGUCAGCAGAGCCAUUCAUUAUUAUUUUCUCUUGUAUGCAAUACUGGCAUUUCUUAAGAAUACUGCAGUUACUCCAGAGGUUGUUAAGUGGUACGUAGUAUCCAACUGGAGGAAAAUUAAACUGCAAUUGAUCUAGAUGGAGCACUGAAGAACAGAAAGUUUUCACUAUUUGAUAAUUCAAGCAAUAUAUUUAGUUGGGUCAGAAAAGACAACUGAGUUUGUGAAUGUCAGCUGCUAAAAAUGACUUUAUAUAUAUUUAUUUCUGUUUAGAACUCAUUGCAAACAACAAAUUUCACUAAUUUUUGGUCCAUUCUUUUAGAAGGACUUCAUGGACCAUAUUCUACUGCUUCUGAAAAACUCCUGGUUCACCUUGGAAGCAUUUAAAAAUGGGCCACUGCAGUACUGAAUAUGUGUUCAUGUAAAUGAGCAUAUGAUCAGCAAUGAUCCAAUAAUUCACUCAUUUCAAGAGCUUUCAUUUACCAAAGAUUGUGGGAGCCUAGGGAAGCCCCUGCUCCCUGUAGG